RNAcentral lists this long non-coding RNA (482 nucleotides) under Physcomitrium patens. RNAcentral describes it as "long non-coding RNA (PPAT_LNC007900)". The record is from RNAcentral. Lineage: Eukaryota; Viridiplantae; Streptophyta; Bryopsida; Funariales; Funariaceae.
GGAUUUGAUCAGGGUUUGGUUUAGGUUUAGGAUUUGAUUUAGGGUUUGUUUAGGAUUUGAUUUAGGAUUAAGAUUUGGUUAGGAUUUGAUUUAAGAUUUAGGAUUUAAGAUUUGGUUGGGAUUUGGUUUAAGAUUUAGGGUUUGAUUUAGGAUUUAGGAUUUGGUUGCAAUUUGAUUUAGGAUUUGUUUAGGAUUUGGUUUAGGGUUUAGGGUUUGGUUAGAAUUUUUUUAGGAUUUGAUUUAGGAUUUAGGAUUUGGUUUAGGAUUUAGGAUUUAGGAUUUUAUUAGGAUUUAUUUAGGAUUUAAGAUUUAAUUAGUUUUGGCCUAAAGUUUGAAUGAAGUCUAAUAGGAUUUUAACUAGGAUUAAAUUAAGAUUGAAUUGAGAUGUAUUUGAGAGAUAUUUGUGAUCAUUCUAAUAUUUCUUUAAGAUUUCUUAUUAUUUCUUUGAAAUUUCUUUGAAGUUUUUUUGAAUUUGAUUAAAG